RNAcentral lists this ribosomal RNA (527 nucleotides) under uncultured bacterium. RNAcentral's name for it is "bacterial SSU rRNA". It matches the Rfam family "Bacterial small subunit ribosomal RNA", at positions 19 to 518 of the family's 1533-position model. The record is from RNAcentral.
CUGGCUCAGGACGAACGCUGGCGGCGUGCCUAAUACAUGCAAGUCGAACGGUCUUUCUAUGGAAGCUUGCUUCCACUGAGAAGAUAGUGGCGAACGGGUGAGUAACACGUGGGUAACCUGCCCAUAAGAGGGGGAUAACAUCCGGAAACGGGUGCUAAUACCGCAUAGUUUUCUUGAUCGCAUGAUUGAGAAAGGAAAGACGGCCUUUGUGCUGUCGCUUAUGGAUGGACCCGCGGCGUAUUAGUUAGUUGGUGAGGUAACGGCUCACCAAGGCGAUGAUACGUAGCCGACCUGAGAGGGUGAUCGGCCACAUUGGGACUGAGACACGGCCCAAACUCCUACGGGAGGCAGCAGUAGGGAAUCUUCCGCAAUGGACGAAAGUCUGACGGAGCAACGCCGCGUGAGUGAAGAAAAGGUUUUCGGAUCGUAAAACUCUGUUGUCAGAGAAGAACAAGUUGGAGAGUAACUGCUCCAGCCUUGACGGUAUCUGACCAGAAAGCCACGGCUAACUACGUGCCAGCCGCCGC